CUAUACAUGCCNAGCUCGAACGGAUAGCACAGGAGAGCUUGCUCUCGGGUGACGAGNUGGCGGACGGNAGAGUAAUGUCUGGGAAACUGCCUGAUGGAGGGGGAUAACUACUGGAAACGGUAGCUAAUACCGCAUAACGUCGCAAGACCAAAGAGGGGGACCUUCGGGCCUCUUGCCAUCAGAUGUGCCCAGAUGGGAUUAGCUAGUAGGUGGGGUAACGGCUCACCUAGGCGACGAUCCCUAGCUGGUCUGAGAGGAUGACCAGCCACACUGGAACUGAGACACGGUCCAGACUCCUACGGGAGGCAGCAGUGGGGAAUAUUGCACAAUGGGCGCAAGCCUGAUGCAGCCAUGCCGCGUGUAUGAAGAAGGCCUUCGGGUUGUAAAGUACUUUCAGCGGGGAGGAAGGUGUUGUGGUUAAUAACCACAGCAAUUGACGUUACCCGCAGAAGAAGCACCGGCUAACUCCGUGCCAGCAGCCGCGGUAAUACGGAGGGUGCAAGCGUUAAUCGGAAUUACUGGGCGUAAAGCGCACGCAGGCGGUCUGUCAAGUCGGAUGUGAAAUCCCCGGGCUCAACCUGGGAACUGCAUUCGAAACUGGCAGGCUAGAGUCUUGUAGAGGGGGGUAGAAUUCCAGGUG
Molecule: ribosomal RNA, 640 nt
Filed under: bacterium Ri.J26BB
Lineage: Bacteria
Description: bacterial SSU rRNA
Rfam family: Bacterial small subunit ribosomal RNA
Source: RNAcentral